CCUACGGGAGGCAGCAGUAGGGAAUAUUGGACAAUGGGUGCGAGCCUGAUCCAGCCAUGCCGCGUGCAGGAAGACGGCCUUCUGGGUUGUAAACUGCUUUUGCCAGGGGAUAAAACGUCCAUGCGUGGAUAAUUGAAGGUACCUGGUGAAUAAGCCACGGCUAACUACGUGCCAGCAGCCGCGGUAAUACGUAGGUGGCAAGCGUUGUCCGGAUUUAUUGGGUUUAAAGGGUGCGUAGGCGGUUCCAUAAGUCAGUGGUGAAAUACGGCAGCUUAACUGUCGAGGUGCCAUUGAUACUGCGGAACUUGAGUACAGACGAGGUAGGCGGAAUUGACGGUGUAGCGGUGAAAUGCUUAGAUAUCGUCAAGAACACCGAUAGCGAAGGCAGCUUACUAGACUGUAACUGACGCUGAGGCACGAAAGUGUGGGGAUCAAACAGGAUUAGAUACCCUGGUAGUCCACACUGUAAACGAUGAUUACUCGAUGUUGGCGAUACACAGCCAGCGUCUUAGCAAAAGCGAUAAGUAAUCCACCUGGGGAGUACGCCCGCAAGGGUGAAACUCAAAGGAAUUGACGG
RNAcentral lists this ribosomal RNA (577 nucleotides) under uncultured bacterium. Its description in RNAcentral is "bacterial SSU rRNA". It matches the Rfam family "Bacterial small subunit ribosomal RNA", at positions 338 to 916 of the family's 1533-position model. The record is from RNAcentral.